CCUACGGGAGGCAGCAGUGAGGAAUAUUGCACAAUGGGGGGAACCCUGAUGCAGCAACGCCGCGUGGAGGAUGACGCAUUUCGGUGUGUAAACUCCUUUUAUAUGUCAAGAAAAUGACGGUAGCAUAUGAAUAAGCACCGGCUAAAUCCGUG
RNAcentral lists this ribosomal RNA (152 nucleotides) under uncultured bacterium. Its description in RNAcentral is "partial 16S ribosomal RNA". It matches the Rfam family "Bacterial small subunit ribosomal RNA", at positions 338 to 507 of the family's 1533-position model. The record is from RNAcentral.